Molecule: long non-coding RNA, 639 nt
Organism: Bos taurus (domestic cattle)
Lineage: Eukaryota; Metazoa; Chordata; Mammalia; Artiodactyla; Bovidae
Source: Ensembl
UUUUGCAAUCAGAGUGCUUAGUGCACAGCCAUCUUUGUAAGAAUAUCUUUGAGCAGAAAGAGUUUUUUCCACAGGAUAGAUUCCUAGAAGUGGCAUCAGUGGAUCAGCUCGCCAGGCUCCUCUGUCCAUGGGAUUCUCCAGGCAAGAACACUGCAGCGGGUUGCCGUGCCUCCUCCAGGGGAUCUUCAUGACCCAGGGAUCGAACCUGCAUCUCUUCUGUCUCCUGCAUUGACAGGCAGCAUCACGGUAUGCGGAGUGUGGUGUUUGCUGAGGCUGAUGUUAACUACAUUCCACAACGAUCUCCCAAAGGAGAGAGGGAGCCCCUGCUUCUGGGCCACAGGGCUGCAGGGCCUGCGGAGUCCUCAGGAGCUGCCAUGCUGUCCCCAGGGCCGGACAGAGCCAAGCUGCUCAGCCCCACUCCAAGUAGCCAGAGUCAGGUCGGCCUGCUCAGCUCCCUUGCAAAACUGGCCUCCAGUCUCUUCAGCACAUUCCCAGAUGACAACUUCAGGACUAGAUUCCCCAAACCAAAAUUAGGACAUGGGCUUGCUCAAAGGAUUCUUUCCAUGGCUGAAUGUAUUUAUUUGAGUGUUCUUAUUGCAGAAUAAAAAUGAACUCCACCAGAGGUUUAAUGAAUCAUUU